AUGCCGCCGCCGCUGGCGCAGGUGCAGGAGCUGCGGGACCGCCUCUCCGACCGGUUCCGGCCGUGGAGCCGCUCCGCGCAGUUCUGGGUCCGCGCCGUCGACAUCUACGGCAGCUACAAGGUGUGCCAGCUGCGCACGGGGUUCGUCAAGGAUGAGGAGGAGCGGGAGGCCAUGUGGGAGCAGCAGCACGAGAUCGGCGCCCAGAAGAUGUACUCGCUCUGCUCCGAGCUCGGCGGCCUCUUCCUCAAGGCUGCUCAAAUUCUGGGCAAGCCCGAUUUGGCGCCGACGGCCUGGGUGAAGAGGCUUGUUACAUUGUGCGACAAGGCUCCGUCCACGCCGAUCGAAGUUGUCAGAGAUGUUGUAGAGAAACAGUUCUGCAAGAGCUUUGAUGAGAUAUUUGAUUUCUUUGAAGUUGAGCCUGUUGGGUCUGCUUCUAUUGCACAGGUGCACCGAGCGAGGCUUAAAUCAUCAAAGACAGAUGUUGCUGUCAAGGUUCAACAUCCAGGAGCUGAACAAUUGAUGAUGGUUGAUAUCCGGAACAUGCAAGCAUUUGCCUUGUUCUUACAGAAAUAUGACAUCAACUUUGAUCUGUUCUCCGCCACAAAAGAGAUGGAAAAGCAGAUAUGCUAUGAGUUUGAUUUUGUGCGAGAAGCGAGAGCAAUGGAAAGAAUACGAGAAUUCUUACGUGUCAGCAAUAAGAAACCUCCAGUUAUGGUGCCUCGUGUGAUUCCUGGAAUGAUUAGCAGGGAGGUCUUGGUCAUGGAAUUCAUACAAGGAACUCCAAUAAUGAAUCUCAGCAGUGAAAUGUCUAAAAGAGGAAUUGAUCCUGCUGGUAAGCUUGCAGCAAUGGCAAAGCAGAAGAUUCUGACGGAUCUUACACUUGCUUAUGGCCAAAUGAUCUUGAAGGAUGGCUUUUUCCAUGCAGAUCCACACCCAGGAAACAUCCUUAUCUGCAACAACACAGAGGCAACUUUGCUUGACUAUGGACAAGUGAAAGAAAUGCCAGAGGAUUUACGACUGGCUUAUGCAAAUCUUGUCAUUGCCAUGGCCGAUGAUGACCUUUUGAGAACUAAAGAAAGUCUCAGUGAAUUUGGUUUCAAAACAUGGAGUAUAGCAGACAAUGAGCUAGAAGAACUGUUUCAGUUAUCUCUUAGAAUGUUUGAUACAAGAUUACCGCCUGGAGUAACCGUGCUCUCGCCCUUUGCUGAUGAUUCUUCACUGAAUAAAGUUGGAGUAGAGAGCUUCCCAGAGGAAUUAUUUUCGGUGCUUCGAACGAUACAACUGUUGCGCGGGCUGACUGUAGGGAUGGGCCUCCGUUUUUCUUGUGCUCAGCAAUGGAAACCAAUUGCUGAGGAAGCUUUGUUAAAGGCUGGGAGAAUAAAAGAUGUAAAAUCAAGAAGACCAAGAAGAAGUUUCCUUAGAAGGUUCUUUUAG
This 1434-nucleotide ribosomal RNA is filed under the name Triticum aestivum (bread wheat). RNAcentral's name for it is "partial small subunit ribosomal RNA". The record is from RNAcentral. Lineage: Eukaryota; Viridiplantae; Streptophyta; Magnoliopsida; Poales; Poaceae.